GACGAACGCUGGCGGCGUGCUUAACACAUGCAAGUCGAACGGAAAGGCCCUGCUUUUGUGGGGUGCUCGAGUGGCGAACGGGUGAGUAACACGUGAGUAACCUGCCCUUGACUUUGGGAUAACUUCAGGAAACUGGGGCUAAUACCGGAUCGGAGCUCCUGCUGCAUGGUGUGGGUUGGAUAGUUUCGGCGGUUGGGGAUGGACUCGCGGCUUAUCCGCUUGUUGGUGGGGUAGUGGCUUACCCAGGCUUUGACGGGUAGCCGGCCUGAGAGGGUGACCGGCCACAGUGGGACUGAGAUACGGCCCAGACUCCGACGGGAGGCAGCAGUGGGGAAUAUUGCACAAUGGGCGGAAGCCUUAUGCAGCAACGCCGCGUUCGGUAUGACUGUCUUCGUUUUGUAAACUGCGUUCGCCUGUGACGAAGCGUGAGUGACGGUAAUGGGUAAAGAAGCACCGGCUAACUACGUG
Molecule: ribosomal RNA, 468 nt
Filed under: uncultured bacterium
Lineage: Bacteria
Description: partial 16S ribosomal RNA
Rfam family: Bacterial small subunit ribosomal RNA
Source: RNAcentral